This 514-nucleotide ribosomal RNA is filed under the name uncultured bacterium. RNAcentral describes it as "partial 16S ribosomal RNA". It matches the Rfam family "Bacterial small subunit ribosomal RNA", at positions 355 to 860 of the family's 1533-position model. The record is from RNAcentral.
UGGGGAAUUUUGGACAAUGGGCGAAAGCCUGAUCCAGCAAUGCCGCGUGUGUGAAGAAGGCCUUCGGGUUGUAAAGCACUUUUGUCCGGAAAGAAAUCCUUGGCUCUAAUACAGUCGGGGGAUGACGGUACCGGAAGAAUAAGCACCGGCUAACUACGUGCCAGCAGCCGCGGUAAUACGUAGGGUGCAAGCGUUAAUCGGAAUUACUGGGCGUAAAGCGUGCGCAGGCGGUUUGCUAAGACCGAUGUGAAAUCCCCGGGCUCAACCUGGGAACUGCAUUGGUGACUGGCAGGCUAGAGUAUGGCAGAGGGGGGUAGAAUUCCACGUGUAGCAGUGAAAUGCGUAGAGAUGUGGAGGAAUACCGAUGGCGAAGGCAGCCCCCUGGGCCAAUACUGACGCUCAUGCACGAAAGCGUGGGGAGCAAACAGGAUUAGAUACCCUGGUAGUCCACGCCCUAAAGCGAUGUCGAACUAGUUGUUGGGGAUUCAUUUCCUUAGUAACGUAGCUAACGCGU